Molecule: long non-coding RNA, 1383 nt
Organism: Dromaius novaehollandiae (emu)
Lineage: Eukaryota; Metazoa; Chordata; Aves; Casuariiformes; Dromaiidae
Source: Ensembl
AUGUGCCCUAGGGGUCCUGCUGGUGUCCCCACGUCCCCACAGGGUCCCCACGUCUCCUUGAGGACCUCGCGGGGGGAUGAGUCCCCACAGGGUCCCCACGUCUCCUCAGGGUCCCAGUGUCCCCUCGGGGACCCCCUGGAGGUCUGUGUCCCUACAGCAUCCCCCCAUGCCCUUGGGGGUCCUCUUGGUGUCCCCAUGUCCCCACAGGGUCCCCAUGUCCCCUUGGGGUCCUCCCUAGCGAGCGUGCAASCACACGCUGCACCWUGCAAUCGCGUCUGCCCCCUUCCMUUGCACACCCAGGGGCACGCGAGCGUGCAAGCACACGCUGCACCGUGCAAGCACGUCUCCACCCUUCCAUUGCACACCCAGGGGCACGUGGGCGUGCAAGUGCACGGUGCACCGUGCAAGCACGUCUCCACCCUUCCAUUGCACACCCAGGGGCACGCGAGCGUGCGAGCACACGCUGCACCAUGCAGUUGUGUCUGCACCCUUCCACUGCACACCCAGGGGCACGCGAGCGUGCGAGCACACGCUGCACCAUGCAGUUGCGUUUGCACACCCAGGGGCACGCGAGCGUGCGAGCACACGCUGCGCCGUGCAGUUGCGUCUCCCCCUCUCCCGCUCUGCCCACGCCCACCCGCCCCUCGGGCCCCUCGGGCCCCACUGCCGCCCGUGGGGCGCCCCACACCGGCGCCGGGGCCGCGGGCGCCUUUUGUAGCGCAAGCGUUUUUUAAGCCAAGCCUUGGGGCCGCCCGGCGCCCCCCCACCCCCGUUUUUAACCCCCCUUGGUGGCGGUGGCAGCGCUGGGGACGCGGGGACGUGGGGACGUGGGGCGCGGGGACGUGGGGCGCGGGCCAGGCCGUCGUGUACGCGCCGCCGUGGGUCCCGGCCGCCGCCGGCCCCAAAGAAACCCCCCGGGAAGCCGCCAGGUCUCCGAGCAUCAUUGACCCCGCGCCGGCGCCGCCCCCGCCCCCGGGACCCACAGCAUCCAGGGACCCACCGCCCCACAGCACCCACAGCCCCACGGCACCCAGGGACCCACAGCCCCACGGCACCCAGGGUCCCACGGCACCCACAGCCCCACAUUUCCGUGGCACCCACAGCCCCACAGGUCCCGCAGGCACCCCGCCAUACAGGACCCACACGGGAGGGGACCCAGGUGUCCUGGCAGGCCCCGAGCAGCCGAGGGGAGGGAGCUGGGGGGCACGGAGGGGGCCCAGGCGUCCUGGCAGGGUGCACGGGGCCCGCGGGUGCUCGUGCACCCUUGUGUGGGGGGGGAGAGGGGGGAGCCCCGCUUCUGCCGGGGGGGAUUUGCGUCCCUGCCUCCUGCCUGCGGCUCCCCCGAGAAAUCAUCAGCGGGAAUUAAAUGGGGGUGUUCGUUAG